RNAcentral lists this ribosomal RNA (626 nucleotides) under Ropica subnotata. RNAcentral describes it as "eukaryotic LSU rRNA". Lineage: Eukaryota; Metazoa; Arthropoda; Insecta; Coleoptera; Cerambycidae. The record is from RNAcentral.
UUCAGGGGUAAACCUGAGAAACCCGAAAGGUCGAAAGGGGAAAUUCAUUCGCGUUUCGAUGCUCGGAGCGAGACGGUCGAGCGACGGAUGGCGUACGCGUCGUCCGCGCCUUUCGUUUCGCGAUCCGAUGUCGAACGCGUGCACUUUUCCCCUAGUAGGACGUCGCGAUCCGUUGGGUGUCGGUUUAAGGCUCGCGGUGGAGCCCGGGUGAGCGUUUCGACGUUUCGCCCGGACCCGUGAUGUCCCGGCCGACUCGCUCGACGGUAUACGGAUGGCGAGGGGCCGCUCUUGUAGCGUUCGGCCCGCGGCAAGCGCGUACGGUGUUGACGGCGAUCGGACCUAGUGCCGGUCCUGUCCCCGGACGACUGUUGGCCGUGGUGUUCUCGAACAGACCUCGAUUUUACGCCGAUCCGCGACGCUAUAGCUUUGGGUACUUUCAGGACCCACGGACCAAGGAGUCUAGCAUGUGCGCGAGUCAUUGGGACAUAUCUAAACCUAAAGGCGCAAUGAAAGUGAAGGUUCGCCUUGCGCGAACCGAGGGAGGAUGGGUGAUCCGUAUUCACGUACGGUCGCUCCGCACUCCCGGGGCGUCUCGUUCUCAUCGCGAGAAGAGGCGCACCAAGAGC